RNAcentral lists this ribosomal RNA (442 nucleotides) under uncultured bacterium. RNAcentral describes it as "partial 16S ribosomal RNA". It matches the Rfam family "Bacterial small subunit ribosomal RNA", at positions 338 to 795 of the family's 1533-position model. The record is from RNAcentral.
CCUACGGGAUGCAGCAGUGGGGAAUAUUGCACAAUGGGCGAAAGCCUGACCCAGCAACGCCGCGUGAAGGAAGAAGGCUUUCGGGUUGUAAACUUCUUUUGUCAGGGAAGAGUAGAAGACGGUACCUGACGAAUAAGCCACGGCUAACUACGUGCCAGCAGCCGCGGUAAUACGUAGGUGGCAAGCGUUGUCCGGAUUUACUGGGUGUAAAGGGCGUGUAGCCGGGUUGACAAGUCAGAUGUGAAAUCCUGCGGCUUAACCGCAGAACUGCAUUUGAAACUGUUGAUCUUGAGUACUGGAGAGGCAGACGGAAUUCCUAGUGUAGCGGUGAAAUGCGUAGAUAUUAGGAGGAACACCAGUGGCGAAGGCGGUCUGCUGGACAGCAACUGACGGUGAGGCGCGAAAGCGUGGGGAGCAAACAGGAUUAGAUACCCUUGUAGUC